GACGAACGCUGGCGGCGUGCUUAACACAUGCAAGUCGAACGGAAAGGCCCUGCUUUUGUGGGGUGCUCGAGUGGCGAACGGGUGAGUAACACGUGAGUAACCUGCCCUUGACUUUGGGAUAACUUCAGGAAACUGGGGCUAAUACCGGAUAGGAGCUCCUGCUGCAUGGUGGGGGUUGGAAAGUUUCGGCGGUUGGGGAUGGACUCGCGGCUUAUCAGCUUGUUGGUGGGGUAGUGGCUUACCAAGGCUUUGACGGGUAGCCGGCCUGUGAGGGUGACCGGCCACAUUGGGACUGAGAUACGGCCCAGACUCCUACGGGAGGGAGGAGGGGGGAGUAAUGCACAAUGGGCGGAAGCCUGAUGCAGCAACGCCGGGUGCGGGAGGACGGCCUUCGGGUGGUAAGCCGCUUUCGCCUGUGACGAAGCGUGAGUGACGGUAAUGGGGAAAGAAGCACCGGCUAACUACGU
This 467-nucleotide ribosomal RNA is filed under the name uncultured bacterium. RNAcentral's name for it is "partial 16S ribosomal RNA". It matches the Rfam family "Bacterial small subunit ribosomal RNA", at positions 28 to 506 of the family's 1533-position model. The record is from RNAcentral.